Molecule: long non-coding RNA, 2301 nt
Filed under: Brassica napus (rape)
Lineage: Eukaryota; Viridiplantae; Streptophyta; Magnoliopsida; Brassicales; Brassicaceae
Description: long non-coding RNA (BNAP_LNC008167)
Source: RNAcentral
GGGAUCAAACAAAAAAAAAUGGAGCGAGGGCACUAGUGAAAAGAUGUCUUUAAUUAUUGCACAAUGCAAAAACAACUUUUAAUUAAUCAGAAUCAAAUAGCAGGUUUAGGUGAAAGUAAAUGAAAACUAUCAUCCCAAUGAUUUUAUUCAACAAAGAAAGAGAGACUUGUAAGUGCAAAACAACAACAAAGGAGAAAUCUCAUUCUUCAAUAGGCCUUUGACCCAACACAGAGAUGUCUUCAUACCGUUUCUGCACCAUGACAACAAUAUCAAUCAAUGUUAUAAAUGUAUAUUCAUUACUAGUCAACAGAUAUGACUAAUUAUUGAACUAUCAAGCAAGAGUUAAAAACUACUCCAUAUACAUCCGAAAUCUUAAUUAAGCUUUAAAAAGGCGAACCACGGAUCAAUCAGCUAGUUUAAUACUCUAAAGAAAUAAGCACAAUAUAAUCACUUUGUUUCAUAAUGCAAGAUGUUAUGCCUAAAAGCACAAACUUAUUUUUCAAUAAAAACAUCAUUAAAAAUGAUUCUAAAAAGAUGUGAUUGGUUGAACAGUUUCUGUUAAAGGAACGUAGAAAUCUCAAAAAAUCUUACAUUCUAAAACACCAAAAACCUUCUAAAACAUCAUAUAAUUAUGAAACAGAGAGAUUAUUAUGAUGAUAAAAAUGAAACAAAAGAGGUAUGUAAACAGAGAUGUAAUCAUUCCAUAACAAAGUUAGCUAAUACAAAGAAUGAAGAAACAGCUACCACCUAGACUCUAGUUCAAAAGACAAGAGCAAGCAAUACUAAUCAAAAGUUUGGCAAAGUUGUCAACAGGAGGAUUCAUCUUCUGAGUUAAAAAGUAUUAACACAUUCAGACCAAAAUGAAGUGAACUGAAAAUUAAAAAAAAAAAACGGAACAAGUAGUACUCAUUCUCCCAACCGAUCAAUCAAAUCCACAGAAACACACAAGAGGAAGACAGAGUAAAAUAAAAAAAAAGAAACAGAACAUACCCCAACGUUUUUGCUUUCCCAGAGCUUAUGAACACCAUAAUCCACAGCCUGCACAUAUAACAUUUUCAUAUUAAAAAACGAUCCUUUUUGUAUAUCAAACACCAAAAAAAACAAGAACUUUCUCACAGUUUCGUCUUAAAAUUAACAAAUCUCUAGCAGCUAUACAUUGCAAAUAGCUCAAAUUCUAUAUCCGAAUGAAAUGAAUUCACCAAAGAUUGUAACUUUACAUAAAAAAAAUCGAGAUUUUUGUUCCGAUCCCAAAACAGAUCCGAAAGCUAAGAAGGUAUAAUUGUAAAAAAGCGUCUUCGGGAAUAUUCAUUUGUCCAUACUCCAACCCCGAGAACAUAAACAUUUUCACGAGCUCGAUCUCUAGUCUCUUGUCGCAACAAUACAAAACGCAUUAUGCGAAUCCGCAAGUUGAUAAAUUCCACUUUGUUUGUCCAUAUCAAUGUUUUUUUAAAUUUGUUUCUCUAUAAUUCAGGCUAGUCUGGCACAUUUGAAACUUGUCUUAUACAUUGGAACGAUAUGCUUGGUUCAGAGUGUUUUUAUGGUUGUAUAACAACUCACUUACGCUCACUUUCUGAUUUGUAUCCGGUUAAUGACAUGUUUGUGGCACUAUUACAAACCAAUAAGACACGCCGCACCGUGUGUGUUUUCUUCGGGGUAGAUGCAUGCCGUUAGAAAGUAGUGCGCAAAUUAUAUGAUUUAUGAUAAAGAGGUGGUCAAAAUCUAAUCUUUAAUAUUUGCCCCACAGCAUAGUGGAGUGAAUGCUUUAAAGAUCUCUGCACGAAAUUGAACCAAUGUGGUUUUGUCGGUUAAGUUCCCACUUAGUUCUACAAAAUGCAAGAACGAUGAUUCUCUAUCGACGACAGUGACUCCUCUGGCUAUUCUUUAAAGAAGGCAUAUAAUCAUAAUAACCUUUCUUACUUGGGAUCAAACAAAAAAAAAUGGAGCGAGGGCACUAGUGAAAAGAUGUCUUUAAUUAUUGCACAAUGCAAAAACAACUUUUAAUUAAUCAGAAUCAAAUAGCAGGUUUAGGUGAAAGUAAAUGAAAACUAUCAUCCCAAUGAUUUUAUUCAACAAAGAAAGAGAGACUUGUAAGUGCAAAACAACAACAAAGGAGAAAUCUCAUUCUUCAAUAGGCCUUUGACCCAACACAGAGAUGUCUUCAUACCGUUUCUGCACCAUGACAACAAUAUCAAUCAAUGUUAUAAAUGUAUAUUCAUUACUAGUCAACAGAUAUGACUAAUUAUUGAACUAUCAAGCAAGAGUUAAAAACUACUCCAUAUACAUCCGAAAUCUUAAUUAAGC